GCAAUCCAAUUGAAAAGUGACACCUCAUUUCCGCUCGCCUUCAAUGAAUCUGAACGUCCGUUCGUCACGACAUUAGCCGAUAAAGCGAUGAUUAAUGCAUAAAUUCCUUAUCGAAACGCAACUACGUCACGCAGUUUUCUUGUGCGGAGCACAGUUCAUAUUUAGGGAAGUUCGGCGCUUGUUGUUAACGACCACUCUAAGUGGAGCAACUGAUGUCUAGUAAAUGAUACAGAGAAAAAGAGAGAGCACGAGGUCACUGCAAAAACUCGAUGCACGCGCUGUAAACGCUCCAGUUGAAAGAAGUAGUACCAGCCAACGCACGCUACAAUGUCAUCGUUGCGUUUGAGCAACACGCCGCCUAAUUAAUUUCUGCCUCGUCCGCUGCCUCUAUGCUGCUAAAUUCUUGUGACAGUCAGUGUAUUUGCGCAAUUGAUAGCAGUCACGAGUUACCAAUAUGGCCGUAAUAUUUGUGCGUUUAUUAUGUGCUCCUCGACCGUCGUUCUAGGCUUUGCACUCGCAAAAAAAACAGGACAAAGGAUCUGAAGAGUGUUCUAUCGGGUAUAUUGGGGGGUCUCCGUAUCGUGCGAAUCCAGACUACGCGUUAUUACUCAUGGUAAACGCGAUCAAACUGAAGACAAGUUGCAAGGACAGAAGAAAGAGAGGAUUCUACUUAGAUACUUAGCAUAUAAAGAGUAACUCAGCAGGAAUGGAAUCAAAAAGUGAAAAUGUCACUUCUGCACCCAAAAGCAAUGGUAACCCUGUUGAUGAUGAAAAAGAAGAGGGUGAAUUAUCAAUGGAUGAUGUCAGUUCAGUAGAAGACACACCUAUCCAAAGAAACCAUUAUAAUAGAUAUCAGUCGAUAUCUAGAAAUUUUACCAGGACGAUACCAAAUCUAUCCGAUUCGGAGAGUAAACUAAAAUAUUUGUAUAUAGAUGCUGGAAAAGAAAAUCAACGUCGUCACUAUUACCAUCACCAUCACCAUUACAGAAAUCAUCGGUCACAAUCUCCAGUAUAUAGAAAAGCUAUUAAUCCAUUUUAUAGCACCUUACAAGAGAAAAAUAUAUCUAAAACUAUACGCCCGUCUGAUGAUUUGAAAGAAAUAUCCAGUGAUACUGACAUUGAUAUGACUCUGGUUGGUUUUUCAAAAAAAACUCUUAAAAAGCCAAAACAUAAAAAGAAAAAGCAUGAACCUGAACCACUCUCACUUUCUGAAAGUGAAUUAUCAGACUUAGGAUCAUCAAAUUUAGACACAGCAUAUAGACAUAGGAAAAGUUUAUCUAAAACGCACAACACAUCUAAACCAUUAAAAAAAAAUAUCUCUAAAACUCGAAGUUCAACUAAACAUAAUCGUUCAUCAAAAUUGCAUAAUGGAAUAGAAACACCAUCACCAAUGCAAGUUCCUGAAAAUGUGACAAACUUACUUAAAAGAGUCAAGAAACAUGAUCCGACAAAUGACUCCAAGAGCAAGUCAAAGAGCUCUUCUCUAAGAGAUAAGCUAAAUAUUGAAAACAAAAAUGAAAGAACUGAAACUACUGAGUGCAGGUACAAGAAUAAUACAGUUGACAAUGCCACUUCAUCAAUUGAAAAAAAUAAUUCUGUAAAUAAUAAAACUCUUUUAGUUGAAAAAGAAAAUAUCUCUCUUAACAUUUGCGAAAAAAAAAUAAAACAACAAACAGACUCGCAAAUUGAAGAAAGUAAUCAAAAUAAAACAUCAGAACAGGAAACCAACAACUAUAAUUUUAAAGAAAAAAGUUUUUCUAAUAAAGUAUUUUCUCAUCCUGAUGUAGACAAGACUAUUAACUCAUCACUGAGAGAUUUAGACCCGGAGCCACUAGAUGCCUCAACUAAUGAAGAGCAUCAAUUACCUAAUUUUUGUAUUGAUGAAAAUGAUGAAGAUAUGCAUCUACGAAUGGAGGCAUUAAAAUCGGCUAUAAUGAAAAAACAUAACACUCGGGUUCUCAAGGGCAGCAAAAAAAACAAAAAAUUAGUUAAUGAAAAAUUACGAAAUAUUCCAAGUCCUAAUUUUAUUGAUGAUUUUCCAUUACUGGUAGAAAUGUGUGACCCACAUUCUCUUGAAAGUCAACAGCAAAAAGAUAGUUACUUUAGCGAGGAUAUGGAACUUGAUUCAGAUAUGGAUCUCUCUGAUUUAGAAUCUCCAUAUUCUCCAUCAGAUGAAAUAAACUCAAGUGAACUUAAACCAGUUAUUUCUGAUGUAUCAAGUAAUUCAAAAGUAAACUACAUUCAAGAUUCAAGCAAACAUAAAAUCUCAAAUUUCAAUGAGUCUAGACCUUAUUCUCCAUCUGAUUCAACAGUAUAUGAUCCUGAACUACCAGGAGUUCAUUUUGAAAACGAUCCAGCACCACUAUCGUCUCAACCACCACUUCCAGCCCCACCAAUUCCGCCUUUUUUGACUUCUCAGACAAUGCUUCUUGGUUGCAAUGUAGCUAGAAACCCGUUUGUUGAACCUCUUCAAUUUUUAUCACAGACAGAUAAAAAUUACGCAAAUUCCAACCAGCCAUCUAAUUUAAUGAUGUUUACAAAUAACUCUCAAACACUCAAUUUUUCCAAAAACACAAUUCUUACUUCCACUGCUACUGCCUCUAGCAAUGUUCCUCUUUUGACUUCAUCACUAGGAAAUUUACCUCAAAUGUCACAGAGUAAACUAAUAAACAUAUCAUCUGAAAUUAUGGAUAUGGAAACUGAUUUGGAUGGAAGUCCAUUAGUUCCUAUGGAUGUAAAGAAUAGUAAUAAUUUUGCAGAAUGGCAAAUUGCAAAAAAUUUAUCCCAGCCAGUAUUUAUUUCAGAUGAAUCUAAAUCUGAUUCAAUUCACGCUCCUGUUUUGUGCAAUAUAAAUCAUAAUCUAAUUCCUGAUACAGUACAACGUGCUAGUAAUAUACAAAGAAUACUUGAUCCAAAAAAAUUACAAGCUAAAUUAUCACCUGUAACAAAUAAUGAAGCUUCUUUCAAAAAAGUCGACAUGCAAUUAGUAUCACCUCAACCAGCUGUUAUGAGAACCAAUUUUGUGCCUAUUCAAAUUAUUCCACCAACAAAACAAAAAGUGGCUAGUUCUACAGCACAAAUUUUCAAUGAUGAGAACACUAAUUUAAGAAAACGUAAAGCAGAUAAUUUGGUUUCUAAUCUUCAUGAGGAUCAGAUAAAAAAAAUUAAAAAUAUCGAAACUAAAAUUGAAGAUGAUAAAAUUGUGCAAAAUAAAGAAUCUCUUGAUAAAAGUACCAACGAUGAUGACGAGGAAGAACUUAGGGAAUUACUAAUUGCAAGCUUGAAAAAAAAGAAUAACACUAUGUCCGCUUCAUGUAUCGAAGGAACAGAAAAAAGUGAAAAAAUAUUUCGUUCUAAAGCUACUAAAUCAAAGACAAAUGCAACGGUGUUCGAAGGAUUAUCUCCAACUUCCUUAGAAUCCAACUCAGAACCAUGUUACACUCGAGAGAAAUUGACAUCAAGUCCAACAACAGAGAAUUUCAAAGAAAUUAAAAAUAACGUUAAAAUUUCGAAUGAUGCUCGGGAAGCAAUCAUUUCAGCUUGCAAUAGAAUUGAACAAAAUAAUUUAAUCAUCACAUUUAGUGACGAAACCGAAAGUGACUCAGAUAACAAUGAAAAUGCUAUGUUAGACAAUACAUCUGGUAAAACUGAUAUAGAAAAAAGCGUGGCCGAAUUUUUGAAAAGCGCUCGGCAAAAGCACGAAGCAGCAACAGCUGCAAAUAAUAAUGUGUCAGUUCAGAAAGCUCCUGUGAAUGCGGAUUCGAAGCAUGAACCAGCAAAAACAGCUGCUAGUAACAAAAAAAUCCCUUCAAUCAAAAAAAUCCCCACUAAUACGAAUCCGAAUGCAACAAAAAAUACACUGACAAAUUCCCCAGUACAUAUAAGAUUUUGGCACUCAUCUUCUAAAGUUAAUAUACUUGAUCAUCUCGGUGAUAACGAUUCGGAGAUCAAACCAUCGAAUGUAUCGACACAGAAGACAACAGUCACAAGUGUUUAUUCUAAUCCAGCUGAUAUUGGAAAUAUUAAUUCAUUUCCUGAAAAAAUAAGUGUACCUGUGGUAUCAAAAAAUAUGAAUUUAGCUAAAAAUAUUGAAAAAGUAGAAAAAAAUGUUAAUAGUUCAACUAAGAAUGUCGAGAAAGUAUCCAAUAAUAUUUCUAAACCAACGAUUAUUUCACAAGUUGAAAGCAAAAAUUCCAAACUAAGUACAGUAUCAUCUGUUUCCACGAAAGUUAGCAAGACACAGACUGUAGCAAAUUCAAUAUCAAAAACUAAGACUUUGAUUUCAUUAAAAGAAGUUAAGAAGGAUCUUACACCACAAGCACUUGUAACUACACCACAGGUUGUAAAACAUUUGCCAGCCUCUAAACAAGAAGAAUAUAGACGUCUAAAAUUAAAGCUAAUUGAAAUGGAGCGUAAGAAAAAAUUAAAAGCUUCUACAGAUACCUCGACAAAAAAUUCAAGUAUUGCUACACCAGCUUCGAGCUCACGAAUUUCGACAACUACGACCACUCUUCCCACUACUACAGCUUCUACAAUUGUUACAACUCGUGCUGCAGUUACUAAUGCAAGUGUAACGAAGUCAUCAAUAACUACUAAUGAAGCUUCAAAACCAACAGUUCCAAUUAAUAAACAAAUUAACAAAACCCCUGGUGAGAUAAUAACGCGAACUAAGAUCGUGCACGUACCGAAACCUGUUAGUCCGCGAGUUGCAAAUAACUCUCAAAAUAUUGCAAGUUGUAAUAAACAACCUGACGAAAACACAAAAUCAACUGAUCCACAAGUGCAAACAAAGGGUACAGUGCAGUGUAAAAAGCUGAAAAUACUCACUCGUGAGCAAAUAAGUCAAAAAAUAACACAAAUUCAAAAUAAAAUAAAAGAUAAACAGGUACAAAUGGAUGAUUUAAAUGAUUCCAAAGCUUGGAACUCGCCUAAAAAAAAGAAAACAGAAAACAUCGAAUCAAACUUAGAUGAAUUCAAACAAACUGUUAGUGAUGAGGUCCAAAAAUUAGCUGUUCUUCCUAUUGAUAAGCAAAAAAGCAUGCUAGCUAAAGCAGAAGAAGACUUAGUUUCAGAAAGGCAUACUGUACUGGACAAAUUAACCGAAAUAUCAGGUUUCCUUCGCCAGUGGGAAAUAGAGCGAGAUUUAAAAAGUCUCUAUAGUCAAGAUGUUAAAAAUUUGCGUGAGCAGCUCAGGCUUGCUGAAAUGAAAAUUGUACAACAGCAAGAGAAAAUGAAUACAUUAAGUCCAAAAAUAUCUGAAUUCCAAACAAAAAUUAACACUGGAAGAAAAGAAUGUUUCAGACUUUCUAAAAUAUGCAAUAGUAUUGGGCACAAGAUUGUUGGACCAGAAUACAAAGUUCCUACUGCGGCAGCAGAACUGCUAAAUAAUCGUUUAAGUGAAGUUGUUAAACAUACUGUUAGGCUACGUAAAAAAAAGAAUAGCAGUGAAACACUACAAACGGGUAAUUAUACAGAAAAAAGUGUUAAAAAAUCGAAUAAGUCCAUAAACCAUAGCUUAAAUCGUAAAAAUUUAGUUAGCAAAAAAAGUAACAACGUUACCGUUAAGACUGAAGAAUCAGAAACGGAAUUUAUAAAAAAUGACGAUUCUGGAAAUAGUGAAACUGAAAAAAUAACGUCAAAUAGUGAUAAAUCAAUUUUGAAUCGUUCGGAAAUUUCAAAUUCUAAUGCUCUCUGUGAGAUUGACUCACAGGCGGAGUCAAGUACAUCAGAUUUAAAAUUAAAAAGAAAAAAUAUUGCCAAAUCUUACGGAAAUGCUAAAAUUAGAAAGGUUUUAAAUUCUAAAAUUUUAAACAAUUCAGAAAAUUCAAAUAAAUGUUCAUCUUCUAACGACGUUACUACAACUUUAAACAAUCAUUCGGAAAUUAAUGGUUUGUCCACAAUUGAAAACGGUGAUCUUUCGGUAAUAAAAAUUAAUACUAAUGAAGGCGAAAAUAUAGCGUCUAGAGAAUCGCCACAACAGAUAUCUAAUAUAACAGUCGAGUGUUCAAACGCGGUUGAAAAGGUAGACAAAAAUAUCGAAAGUACAACUGCUAAAGAAACAACAAUUAUCAGUGCAAAACAAGUAAACGCCGAUAAUAUAUCCAAUUUAGAGAAGGCAAAUGACAUUGAAAUGAAUGAGUGUUCUAGUGAUUUCGUUGAAGUUAAUAGUAGCUGCAAUAACUCUAAGAUGAGCCCACAUGAAACCAAUUCAAGUGCAAUAGAAUGUUUGGAAUCAGAAGAAAAUUCAGUUUCUUUAUCAUCAAACUCAGCCAAUGAAUUUGUCACAGGGGGACAGGUUGACCUACAUUUGCCUAAAGCUGUUGAUGCUUUAGAAACUGAAAUUGAAACAAAUUUGAAAAAGAAUUGCACAUCAUCAAAAGCAAAUAUUGAAAGUAAUGGGGAAAAGUCUGUAGAGAUUUCUGAUACAGUCAUGAAUAAUUCAGUGGUGGUACCUGACCCGAUAGAGUUGAUGAUUAAUAAACCUCAAAGUUGUACUGAGAAGAAUGUUGAUGUCAGUCUAAGCCAAAAAAAUAGUGUGCCUGGACCAAGUACAAAGGCAUUGUGUUGUGACGAGUCUUCAAAGUUGCCUAUAUUCUCUGAAACUGUCAAUUCAGUAGGAGAGAAAAAAUAUGUGUUUCGGCCUUAUGAAUCGGUCUUAAAACAUAUAAAUUUAACGAGCAAUAUGGUGAAUGGAAUCCUGUGUCCCUUCGAGCUCAUGGGCACGUGCAACGACGAAGAGUGUCCUAACAUUCAUCAAUCCAGAAAGCAGUGAUAAAAUUGUUUAAGAUGAAGAAUGAAGGCGUUAUUUUUCCGUAAGGUGGUUCUAUCUAAUAGAUGGGCUAUAUCAUCCUUUGAGCAAGAUAUUUCAAGACGACCCAUUCUUUCUAUUGUGAAGAUUGUUUUGUAUAGUUCCAAUAUUGUUUGUGCUACAUCAUUGAAGAUUGGUAAGUGAUCUUCGUAACUCAUGCAGGAUAUAAUUUUGCUUUUUUAAGUCAAACUCGAAAUUUUGUUUAAAGUUUUUUUCGAUAAUCCUUGCAUUAUUUUAAUUUUUACUAUGUCGGUGGCAUUUUUUCUCAUAUUUUUAAGUUAUUGGUAUACAUAAUUUUAAAAAACAAUAGCGUAUUUUUACCCACUAUACUUAAGUAAAAAAAUUUGAUUAAUUAUAAGGUAGGAAAGUUUACCUGUGUUAUAUGUACAUAAAAAUGUAAAAAAAAGUUGAAGAUUUUUAUACUCAAGUGGCUGCAGAAGAUAAUCAACGAGUCCAAAUGCGAAGUGUAUAAGUGAAUAUUAAUAAAAAAAAGUUUACUAAUUUUUUAAAAA
This is an RNA transcript of Trichogramma pretiosum, 7320 nucleotides long. It is a transcript of the gene named probable serine/threonine-protein kinase DDB_G0282963, with no coding region annotated. The record is from RefSeq and is a predicted model, not a curated record. NCBI's taxonomy places the organism in Eukaryota, Metazoa, Arthropoda, Insecta, Hymenoptera, Trichogrammatidae. The transcript has 8 exons.